RNAcentral lists this ribosomal RNA (500 nucleotides) under uncultured bacterium. Its description in RNAcentral is "partial 16S ribosomal RNA". It matches the Rfam family "Bacterial small subunit ribosomal RNA", at positions 28 to 507 of the family's 1533-position model. The record is from RNAcentral.
GACGAACGCUGGCGGCGUGCUUAACACAUGCAAGUCGAACGGGUCUGCCCUGUUUUUUGCGGGGUGGGUCAGUGGCGAACGGGUGAGUAACACGUGAGUAACCUGCCCCUCACUUCUGGAUAACCGCUUGAAAGGGUGGCUAAUACGGGGUGUUCUGGCUGUGCCGCAUGGUGUGGCUGGGAAAGAUUCACUUUUGUGGUGUUUUGGUGGGGGAUGGGCUCGCGGCCUAUCAGCUUGUUGGUGGGGUGAUGGCCUGCCAAGGCUUUGACGGGUAGCCGGCCUGAGAGGGUGGGCGGUCACAAUGGGACUGAGAUACGGCCCAGACUCCUGCGGGAGGCAGCAGGGGGGGGUAUUGCACAAUGGGCGGAAGCCUGAUGCAGCGACGUCGCGGGAGGGAUGGAGGCCUUCGGGUUGUGAACCUCUUUCGCCGGUGAAGAAGGUCCUGCUCUUUGGGGUGGGGUUGACGGUAGCCGGGUUAUGAAGCGCCGGCUAACUACGUG